CUGUAGUAAGGGGGAACUUGAAACCGCCCCCUUUGCCCCAUGUCCUCGGUUGUUUUCCUUCUUUCGCCCGGAUUCUCCGUGCUGUCGGAGCGGGACCGGGGGCUUCCACUCCACCGCGGGGGGCUCGGGGUGAACACGGGCGGCGCGGCGGCUGAAGCGGGGCUCUCUCGGCCCGGAGAGGAGCCGGUAGGAGCGGAGCGGAGGACGAAAACAAGUGCCAUGCCCCUCCCAUGUGAGCGGCGGCGGCAGAAGGCGGGAUUACAGCGAAAUUAUAAACAAAAUAGUCAUUUUCUCGCUGCUGCCCUGAUUAGGGGCGGAAGGUGGAGGAGUGAUAGCCCGGAUAAAUUAAUGCAGGUUGUUGUUGGGGGUCGUUAGGAUGUUGUGCGCGUUAGAUGGAAGUUUCUAUAUAACGUCAGGUUAACUAUAAUCAUCGCACAAGUGCAGAGACAGAGAAGAGCGAGGGGACGUCCAGCUGCAGCAGCCAAAACAGACAGGUCAGACGAGCGCUGAAGAUGCCCUGCAGCACAGCAGCAUCUUCCUGUGAUGUCCUGUCAGAGCCGGAGGACAGCAGGACGGCUGCCAAGAUUCCAGACGGAUGACUGAACCGGAGAUGAACUCUUUCAGGAGCAAGACCUCUCAGGACCUGGACGAGACGUGGCCACAGGGUUUAUUUUAAGACUGUGAACAGUGUGGAGCAGGAUUCAUAGGACCUGUGGAGACUGAAGGCUCACACACCAGAUGAUCCUCUGGGAAUCCGGUUUCGGCUUUUGCCUGGUUCAAGUAAUCCAGGAUAGGUUGGUUCUCUGUAGUACGGCCUAUUCUUGAUUACUUGUGUCGGGAGGAAGCUGCCAGCAGCAGGAUGGAGGACUCGGCCACGCCCUCACGACCCUGUAAAAUAAGAGAGCACCUAAAAAGGAUGAGUUUCUUUGAUUUUACCAAAUUAAAAACCUCUGGAAUAUAAUCAAGAGGAAGAUUAAUGAUCACAAACCUUUAAACCACCAAACUGAACUGCUUGAAUUCAUUUUUGCACAAGGAGUAAAGCAGCAUAAAGUUAUCCAAAAGCAGCAGUGUGUAAGACUGGUGGAGGAGGAGAACAUGAUGCCAAGAUGUGUAUAUAAUACGUAUGUUAAUAUUAUCUCUGUUUGUCUCUGUGUUUCUGGAAGGUUCCUGGGUCGUGGUUCGAUGGCGUGGAGUUUGAGGAGCAGAGCUGGAGCAGAUAUAUUCAGUCAAUAUAUUAAAAUUUUUAUUGUAAAGUGAUUGAAGAGUAUUUUAAUUUGUCCGCUCAUCAUGAGGAACUUCUGAUACUGUAUAAAGAACAACAGCUAGAAUUAA
Long non-coding RNA from Astyanax mexicanus (Mexican tetra), 1332 nucleotides. RefSeq lists it as uncharacterized. The transcript is spliced from 5 exons. The record is from RefSeq and is a predicted model, not a curated record. Lineage: Eukaryota; Metazoa; Chordata; Actinopteri; Characiformes; Acestrorhamphidae.